UACGGAGGGCGCGAGCGUUAAUCGGAAUCACUGGGCGUAAAGCGCGCGCAGGCGGCGCUCCAAGCCCCGCGUGAAAGCCCCGGGCUCAACCUGGGAACUGCGCGGGGGACUGUGGCGCUGGAGUGCGGGAGAGGGGUGUGGAAUUUCCGGUGUAGCAGUGAAAUGCGUAGAGAUCGGAAGGAACACCAGUGGCGAAGGCGGCACCCUGGACCGACACUGACGCUGAGGCGCGAAAGCGUGGGGAGCAAACAGG
RNAcentral lists this ribosomal RNA (253 nucleotides) under uncultured bacterium. RNAcentral describes it as "partial 16S ribosomal RNA". It matches the Rfam family "Bacterial small subunit ribosomal RNA", at positions 524 to 776 of the family's 1533-position model. The record is from RNAcentral.